Molecule: transfer RNA, 74 nt
Filed under: Candidatus Omnitrophota bacterium
Lineage: Bacteria; Pseudomonadati; Candidatus Omnitrophota
Description: tRNA-Val
Rfam family: tRNA
About the family: Transfer RNA (tRNA) molecules are approximately 80 nucleotides in length. Their secondary structure includes four short double-helical elements and three loops (D, anti-codon, and T loops).
Source: RNAcentral
GGGCGAUUAGCUCAGCUGGUUAGAGCGCUACAUUCACAUUGUAGAGGUCAUAGGUUCAAGUCCUAUAUCGCCCA